Nicotiana tabacum (common tobacco) is the source of this 994-nucleotide non-coding RNA. The record is from RefSeq and is a predicted model, not a curated record. NCBI's taxonomy places the organism in Eukaryota, Viridiplantae, Streptophyta, Magnoliopsida, Solanales, Solanaceae.
CCACUCUCUCUCUCUCUCACUUUCUCUCAAAUCCUCUCAAUGUUUCCCGAUUGUUUGCCGAUUAGCUGCGAUUUUUUCUCCAAUUUUGAAGUGCUUCUCAGCAGUUUUCUCCGUAUAUUCAAGUAGACAUAUCUAAAGGUUGUCCAAUGGCUUCAAAAUACUUUAAUUUUAGAUGGAAACUUGGGGGGAUGUUGAUGAGUGAAGUAGGGCCACUGUUUGUUGGGGGUAGGAUUGAAUAUUCCUUCAACAUUGACUUUGAUCACUUGUCUAUCCAGAACCAGUAGAUAUUGCUAAAGAUUUUGGGAUUAAAAAGUCAGGGACAACUUAUAUUGUACCUUCUAAGGGUGGCAAAGUGGUAGAAUUAAAACAGGACAGGGAUUUAUUAGACCUUGGAGUAUUGUUAAAUGAUGGGGACACAAUAGAUAUUCUUGUCUGCAAUGACUCUAAUUUUGAGGAUGUGGGGCAUAUUAAUCAACAUGUGACAAGUGAGGGAGGAGGUGGUAGUGAAUUAACAAAUGUAAAUGGGGGCAGCAGGGAAUGUGGCCCUAUUUUUAAUCCCCAAACACCAACUAUAGAUCUAGAUCUAGUAGAAGAUAUUGUCAAUGCUGCCAGUGAUGAUUUACAGGGAGAAAAUAUUGUUAGUAGUGAUGUAGAAAAUUCCAAUACUUCAUCAGUAUCUGAAUUUGAACUUUCCGAUGACUAUGGAAGUGAUAUUCAUGAAAAACUUAGGGUUGUGAAACAAGAUCUGAAGGCUUACAACAAAAAAAAAGGGAAAAAAUGAUAGGAAAGAAAAACCAGAUGGGUUUCUAGGUGAGGCUGGUCUUGAUGAAGGUUAUGAAGAUAUUGAUAAAGUUAAAAAAAAAUCUAAAAGAUAAAUUGGGAGGUGAUGAUGAUAAGCCAUAUUAUGACUCAUCAGAUGCAGAUAGUUUUGCUAGUGAAUCUGAUGGUGAAGCUGUCAGUGAUGAUGAAGUAGGAGGAGGGAACUUCAGGGAAA